UACGUAGGGUGCAAGCGUUGUCCGGAAUUAUUGGGCGUAAAGAGCUCGUAGGCGGUUCGUCGCGUCGGCUGUGAAAUCCCGAGGCUCAACCUCGGGUCUGCAGUCGAUACGGGCGGACUGGAGUUCGGCAGGGGAGACUGGAAUUCCUGGUGUAGCGGUGAAAUGCGUAGAUAUCGGAAGGAACGCCGGUGGCGAAAGCGGCGCGCUGGACCUCUUCUGACGCUGAGGCGCGAAAGCCAGGGGAGCAAACGGG
Molecule: ribosomal RNA, 253 nt
Filed under: uncultured bacterium
Lineage: Bacteria
Description: partial 16S ribosomal RNA
Rfam family: Bacterial small subunit ribosomal RNA
Source: RNAcentral